GGCGCAUGGGGAGGAAACAAGGGGAAGGGGGGUCUAUAAUGCAAGUCGAGCGGACCGACGGGAGCUUGCUCCCUUAGGUCAGCGGCGGACGGGUGAGUAACACGUGGGUAACCUGCCUGUAAGACUGGGAUAACUCCGGGAAACCGGGGCUAAUACCGGAUGCUUGAUUGAACCGCAUGGUUCAAUCAUAAAAGGUGGCUUUUAGCUACCACUUGCAGAUGGACCCGCGGCGCAUUAGCUAGUUGGUGAGGUAACGGCUCACCAAGGCGACGAUGCGUAGCCGACCUGAGAGGGUGAUCGGCCACACUGGGACUGAGACACGGCCCAGACUCCUACGGGAGGCAGCAGUAGGGAAUCUUCCGCAAUGGACGAAAGUCUGACGGAGCAACGCCGCGUGAGUGAUGAAGGUUUUCGGAUCGUAAAACUCUGUUGUUAGGGAAGAACAAGUACCGUUCGAAUAGGGCGGCACCUUGACGGUACCUAACCAGAAAGCCACGGCUAACUACGUGCCAGCAGCCGCGGUAAUACGUAGGUGGCAAGCGUUGUCCGGAAUUAUUGGGCGUAAAGCGCGCGCAGGCGGUUUCUUAAGUCUGAUGUGAAAGCCCCCGGCUCAACCGGGGAGGGUCAUUGGAAACUGGGGAACUUGAGUGCAGAAGAGGAGAGUGGAAUUCCACGUGUAGCGGUGAAAUGCGUAGAGAUGUGGAGGAACACCAGUG
RNAcentral lists this ribosomal RNA (716 nucleotides) under Bacillus licheniformis. Its description in RNAcentral is "bacterial SSU rRNA". It matches the Rfam family "Bacterial small subunit ribosomal RNA", at positions 1 to 714 of the family's 1533-position model. The record is from RNAcentral. Lineage: Bacteria; Bacillati; Bacillota; Bacilli; Caryophanales; Bacillaceae.